This 373-nucleotide unclassified non-coding RNA is filed under the name soil metagenome. Its description in RNAcentral is "partial contains 5.8S ribosomal RNA, internal transcribed spacer 2, and large subunit ribosomal RNA". The stretch from base 1 to 121 matches the Rfam family "5.8S ribosomal RNA", at positions 35 to 154 of the family's 154-position model. The record is from RNAcentral.
GAUGAAGAACGCAGUGAAAUGCGAUAAGUAAUGCGAAUUGCAGAAUUCCAGUGAGUCAUCGAAUCUUUGAACGCACAUUGCGCCCUUUGGUAUUCCGAAGGGCAUGCCUGUUCGAGCGUCAUUAUCACCCCUCAAGCCCUCGGCUUGGUGUUGGACGGUUUGGUGGAGGCCCCCUCGGGGGCUCCUGCCCCUCCCAAAGACAAUGACGGCGGCCUCGUUGGACCCCCGGUACACUGAGUUCUUCACGGGACACGUAUCGGACACAUGGGUUUACGGGACACGGUCUGCCUCCCCUCAGGGAGAAUCUUUCUAAGGUUGACCUCGGAUCAGGUAGGGAUACCCGCUGAACUUAAGCAUAUCAAUAAGCGGAGGA